Molecule: ribosomal RNA, 484 nt
Filed under: uncultured bacterium
Lineage: Bacteria
Description: partial 16S ribosomal RNA
Rfam family: Bacterial small subunit ribosomal RNA
Source: RNAcentral
GACGAACGCUGGCGGCGUGCUUAACACAUGCAAGUCGAACGAUGAAGCCGGAGCUUGCUCUGGUGAAUUAGUGGCGAACGGGUGAGUAACACGUGAGUAACCUGCCCUUGACUCUGGGAUAACUGCGGGAAACUGUAGCUAAUACCGGAUACGACCCUCGGAGGCAUCUCCUGGGGGUGGAAAGAAUUUCGGUCAAGGAUGGACUCGCGGCCUAUCAGCUAGUUGGUGAGGUAAAGGCUCACCAAGGCGACGACGGGUAGCCGGCCUGAGAGGGUGACCGGCCAAACUGGGACUGAGACACGGCCCAGAGUCCUACGGGAGGCAGCAGUGGGGAAUAUUGCACAAUGGGCGCAAGCCUGAUGCACGGACGCCGCGUGAGGGAUGAAGGUCUUCGGAUUGUAAACCUCUUUCAGUAGGGACGAAGCGAAAGUGACGGUACCUAAAGAAGAAGCACCGGCUAACUACGUGCCAGCAGCCGCCGUAA